AUAUACAAGUUGAAAUUCUAUAAUAUGGCAUUUCACACAAAUCAAUCCUAUCUAUUUGUUUUAUGCAUUAUUUUGAUCAUCAGUUCAGGAUAUGUUAUUAGUAUCGUGGUUCCUCCGGGAGGAGUAUGUAUAGGACCUUGUAUUGCAACUUGCGACAAGGACUGUCUCGCUAAAGGAUUUGAACAAGGUGGACAAUGUUUUGCUCAUGUUCUAAAGGCAAUUUGUUGUUGUUUUCACAAAUAAGUUUAAAAUGUAUGUAACAAAAAUAUAAUGUAUGAUUGUCAUCAGAAUAAAUAAAUGAUGUGUUUGAAUCUGCUUUUAAACUUACAA
Molecule: long non-coding RNA, 330 nt
Organism: Vicia villosa (hairy vetch)
Lineage: Eukaryota; Viridiplantae; Streptophyta; Magnoliopsida; Fabales; Fabaceae
Exons: 2
Source: RefSeq, a predicted model, not a curated record